This 79-nucleotide transfer RNA is filed under the name Streptomyces turgidiscabies. Its description in RNAcentral is "tRNA-Pro". Lineage: Bacteria; Bacillati; Actinomycetota; Actinomycetes; Kitasatosporales; Streptomycetaceae. The record is from RNAcentral.
CGACCUGCAGGGCGUCGGCAUCCGCGUGCACUGGGACUCCACGGCCCACCGGGCCGGAUUCGUCACCCGGCAGGUCGAC